ACAAUUCAAACAGAUAGCUGCUACAUAUAAUAGCUCAAUUUAAAUGGUUCGAACAUCUCUGCUAAAUAGAACAUAAUACUAAUGGUUCUAACAGUCCAGCACAUCAACAACUCCAAUCUCGGCAGCACUUUUUGAGCCACGACAACCUUCCUUGAAUUGUCGACAUUUUCUUGAAAACCGUUCGGUUGUACUUUUGGGCAAACAACAUAGUUGCCACAUAGAACUCCUCUGACUUCUCAUCUAGUCCACACUCCUUUACUA
RNAcentral lists this long non-coding RNA (261 nucleotides) under Sorghum bicolor (sorghum). Its description in RNAcentral is "long non-coding RNA (SBIC_LNC015298)". The record is from RNAcentral. Lineage: Eukaryota; Viridiplantae; Streptophyta; Magnoliopsida; Poales; Poaceae.